This 1050-nucleotide ribosomal RNA is filed under the name Salmonella enterica. RNAcentral's name for it is "partial 23S ribosomal RNA". It matches the Rfam family "Bacterial large subunit ribosomal RNA", at positions 711 to 1758 of the family's 2925-position model. The record is from RNAcentral. Lineage: Bacteria; Pseudomonadati; Pseudomonadota; Gammaproteobacteria; Enterobacterales; Enterobacteriaceae.
AGACCCGAAACCCGGUGAUCUAGCCAUGGGCAGGUUGAAGGUUGGGUAACACUAACUGGAGGACCGAACCGACUAAUGUUGAAAAAUUAGCGGAUGACCUGUGGCUGGGGGUGAAAGGCCAAUCAAACCGGGAGAUAGCUGGUUCUCCCCGAAAGCUAUUUAGGUAGCGCCUCGUGAAUUCAUCUCCGGGGGUAGAGCACUGUUUCGGCUAGGGGGCCAUCCCGGCUUACCAACCCGAUGCAAACUGCGAAUACCGGAGAAUGUUAUCACGGGAGACACACGGCGGGUGCUAACGUCCGUCGUGAAGAGGGAAACAACCCAGACCGCCAGCUAAGGUCCCAAAGUCAUGGUUAAGUGGGAAACGAUGUGGGAAGGCCCAGACAGCCAGGAUGUUGGCUUAGAAGCAGCCAUCAUUUAAAGAAAGCGUAAUAGCUCACUGGUCGAGUCGGCCUGCGCGGAAGAUGUAACGGGGCUAAACCAUGCACCGAAGCUGCGGCAGCGACACUCAGGUGUUGUUGGGUAGGGGAGCGUUCUGUAAGCCUGCGAAGGUGGCCUGUGAGGGUUGCUGGAGGUAUCAGAAGUGCGAAUGCUGACAUAAGUAACGAUAAAGCGGGUGAAAAGCCCGCUCGCCGGAAGACCAAGGGUUCCUGUCCAACGUUAAUCGGGGCAGGGUGAGUCGACCCCUAAGGCGAGGCCGAAAGGCGUAGUCGAUGGGAAACGGGUUAAUAUUCCCGUACUUGGUGUUACUGCGAAGGGGGGACGGAGAAGGCUAUGUUGGCCGGGCGACGGUUGUCCCGGUUUAAGCGUGUAGGUGUGUGUUCCAGGUAAAUCCGGUUCACUUUAACACUGAGGCGUGACGACGAGGCACUACGGUGCUGAAGCAACAAAUGCCCUGCUUCCAGGAAAAGCCUCUAAGCAUCAGGUAACAUCAAAUCGUACCCCAAACCGACACAGGUGGUCAGGUAGAGAAUACCAAGGCGCUUGAGAGAACUCGGGUGAAGGAACUAGGCAAAAUGGUGCCGUAACUUCGGGAGAAGGCACGCUGACAUG